Molecule: ribosomal RNA, 575 nt
Filed under: uncultured bacterium
Lineage: Bacteria
Description: bacterial SSU rRNA
Rfam family: Bacterial small subunit ribosomal RNA
Source: RNAcentral
AGAGUUUGAUCCUGGCUCAGAUUGAACGCUGGCGGCAUGCCUUACACAUGCAAGUCGAACGGCAGCGCGGACUUCGGUCUGGCGGCGAGUGGCGAACGGGUGAGUAAUACAUCGGAACGUACCCUGUUGUGGGGGAUAACUAGUCGAAAGAUUAGCUAAUACCGCAUACGACCUGAGGGUGAAAGCGGGGGACCAAAAGGCCUCGCGCAGCAGGAGCGGCCGAUGUCUGAUUAGCUAGUUGGUGGGGUAAAGGCCCACCAAGGCGACGAUCAGUAGCUGGUCUGAGAGGACGAUCAGCCACACUGGGACUGAGACACGGCCCAGACUCCUACGGGAGGCAGCAGUGGGGAAUUUUGGACAAUGGGGGCAACCCUGAUCCAGCAAUGCCGCGUGUGUGAAGAAGGCCUUCGGGUUGUAAAGCACUUUUGUCCGGAAAGAAAUUGCUCUGGCUAAUACCUGGGGUAGAUGACGGUACCGGAAGAAUAAGCACCGGCUAACUACGUGCCAGCAGCCGCGGUAAUACGUAGGGUGCGAGCGUUAAUCGGAAUUACUGGGCGUAAAGCGUGCGCAGGCGG